RNAcentral lists this long non-coding RNA (579 nucleotides) under Salvia miltiorrhiza (redroot sage). RNAcentral's name for it is "long non-coding RNA (SMIL_LNC008448)". The record is from RNAcentral. Lineage: Eukaryota; Viridiplantae; Streptophyta; Magnoliopsida; Lamiales; Lamiaceae.
GCUAUAUGAAUCCUCGCCCUGCAGUAGAAACGCAUCACACAACGAUGUAUGCUAUUGAAGAACAAACACAGCAUGACAUAUCGCAAGAUAAAAUCAGCAGUUUCAAUACAACUUUUAGAUUAAAAAAUCACUUGAAAUGUUCAUUUCUUGAAGCCUCAACAUGAAAUAGACAAUAACUGAAUAUGUUCACUUUCAUAGCUUUCUAUCAUUUAAUCAAUUAGAAACUUUAAAUUAUAACAGACCAAAACUAAAUUUAGCACAGGACCAAAACUGCACACCUAAAAAAACAAGUUCACAGUAUCAUUAUUAUUACACACAAAAUUGAUGAAAAGGUGAACAAUAAUACUAUAGUUAAAAUAAUAUUAUAUCACUAACCUCGUAUAUGAAGAAGAAAGAACUACGAUACAAUUUUCUUGGGAGCAAGGUUCUUCAUCAAUUUAAGAAAAAAAUCAUCUCCAUUUUGUUCCUCCGCUUGAUCAAUUGGCACCGAAGAAGUUGCAAAAUCUGCUGAUAAUCCCUUUUGGCGCAUUUCUUCCAUGAAUGAUGUUGCCAUGUGAAGCUCAUUUUGGUUUAGCAAAC